This 329-nucleotide ribosomal RNA is filed under the name uncultured eukaryote. Its description in RNAcentral is "partial 18S ribosomal RNA". It matches the Rfam family "Eukaryotic small subunit ribosomal RNA", at positions 1470 to 1796 of the family's 1831-position model. The record is from RNAcentral.
CCCUUAGAUGUUCUGGGCCGCACGCGCGCUACACUGACAGAGCCAGCGAGUCUACCACCUUUGCCGGAAGGCAUGGGUAAUCUUGUGAAACUCUGUCGUGAUGGGGAUAGAACAUUGCAAUUAUUGUUCUUCAACGAGGAAUACCUAGUAAGCGUGAUUCAUCAGAUCGCGUUGAUUACGUCCCUGCCCUUUGUACACACCGCCCGUCGCUACUACCGAUUGAAUGGCUUAGUGAGGCCUCCGGAUUGGCUAUUGGGAGCUCGCGAGAGCACCCGACUGCCGAGAAGUCGUACGAACUUGGUCAUUUAGAGGAAGUAAAAGUCGUAACA